AUUGAACGCUGGCGGCAGGCCUAACACAUGCAAGUCGAGCGGAUGAAGGGAGCUUGCUCCUGGAUUCAGCGGCGGACGGGUGAGUAAUGCCUAGGAAUCUGCCUGGUAGUGGGGGAUAACGUCCGGAAACGGGCGCUAAUACCGCAUACGUCCUGAGGGAGAAAGUGGGGGAUCUUCGGACCUCACGCUAUCAGAUGAGCCUAGGUCGGAUUAGCUAGUUGGUGGGGUAAAGGCCUACCAAGGCGACGAUCCGUAACUGGUCUGAGAGGAUGAUCAGUCACACUGGAACUGAGACACGGUCCAGACUCCGAAGGGAGGCAGCAGUGGGGAAUAUUGGACAAUGGGCGAAAGCCUGAUCCAGCCAAGCCGCGUGUAUGAAGAAGGUCUUCGGAUGGUAGAGCACCUUAAGUUGGGAGGAAGGGCAGCAAGUUAAGACCUUGCUGCAGUGACGGUACCAGCAGAAUUAGCACGGGCGAAAGUCGUG
This 484-nucleotide ribosomal RNA is filed under the name uncultured bacterium. Its description in RNAcentral is "partial 16S ribosomal RNA". It matches the Rfam family "Bacterial small subunit ribosomal RNA", at positions 29 to 507 of the family's 1533-position model. The record is from RNAcentral.